GGAGUUUGGACCGUCUCUCAGUCCCAAUGUGGCCGGUCGCCCUCUCAGGCCGGCUACGGAUCAUCGCUUUGGUGGGCCGUUACCCCGCCAACUGGCUAAUCCGACGCGGAGCCAUCCUUGUCCGAUAAAUCUUUCCUCUUUCGUUCAUGCGAGCAAAAGAGCGUAUGCGGUAUUGUCAACCGUUUCCAGUUGUUAUCCCCCUGACAAGGGCAGGUUCUCCACGCGUUACUCACCCAUCCGCCACUCGGUUAGAAAGAUCUUUGACAAAUCUCCAAUCUGAAUAACCUCGUUCGACUUGCAUGUGUUAGGCACGCCGCCAGCGUUCAUC
This 328-nucleotide ribosomal RNA is filed under the name uncultured Butyrivibrio sp. RNAcentral's name for it is "partial 16S ribosomal RNA". Lineage: Bacteria; Bacillati; Bacillota; Clostridia; Lachnospirales; Lachnospiraceae. The record is from RNAcentral.